CCUAAGGGUGGCUGCAGUGGGGAAUAUUGGACAAUGGGCGAAAGCCUGAUCCAGCCAUGCCGCGUGUGUGAAGAAGGCCUUCGGGUUGUAAAGCACUUUCAGUGGGGAAGAAAGCCUUGGGGCUAAUACCCUCGAGGAAGGACAUCACCCACAGAAGAAGCACCGGCUAACUCCGUGCCAGCAGCCGCGGUAAUACGGAGGGUGCGAGCGUUAAUCGGAAUUACUGGGCGUAAAGCGCGCGUAGGCGGUCUGAUAAGCCGGUUGUGAAAGCCCCGGGCUCAACCUGGGAACGGCAUCCGGAACUGUCAGGCUAGAGAGCAGGAGAGGAAGGUAGAAUUCCCGGUGUAGCGGUGAAAUGCGUAGAGAUCGGGAGGAAUACCAGUGGCGAAGGCGGCCUUCUGGACUGACACUGACGCUGAGGUGCGAAAGCGUGGGUAGCAAACAGGAUUAGAUACCCCAGUAGUC
Molecule: ribosomal RNA, 465 nt
Filed under: Vreelandella stevensii
Lineage: Bacteria; Pseudomonadati; Pseudomonadota; Gammaproteobacteria; Oceanospirillales; Halomonadaceae
Description: partial 16S ribosomal RNA
Rfam family: Bacterial small subunit ribosomal RNA
Source: RNAcentral